This 200-nucleotide unclassified non-coding RNA is filed under the name soil metagenome. Its description in RNAcentral is "partial contains internal transcribed spacer 2 and large subunit ribosomal RNA". The record is from RNAcentral.
AUCCCACGGGUUUUCUUGAACCGGUGUGGACUUGGAACUGGGCGUCUGCCUCACAAGGCUCGCCUCAAAUGACUUAGUGGGAACUUCUUGACCUACGCCUGACGUAAUAAGUUUCGUCUCGGCCGGUCCUGAGGCCCGCUCACAACCCCCUUACUUUUGACAUUGACCUCAAAUCAGGUAGGGCUACCCGCUGAACUUAA